CCCAAAAUUACCGUCGAACAUCCGACGGUAUAAGACUAAAAAUAACGAUGGACCAUUCGUCGGUAUAGCGGAGCAACGGACCAUUCAUCGGUAUAUCACGUUAUUAUGGCUCACCAUUCGACGCUAUAUAUAUUUAGAUGUACCACCGAAUCAUUGGUCGGCAUAACUCAACAUAUACAUCCAACUAUCGGUCGGGAUACAUUCUUUAGGCCCAUUUCCCUUCGCCGCACUUCCGGCCCAUUAAUCUCGCGCACAAGACUCGGCCCAUACCGAACCC
This 277-nucleotide long non-coding RNA is filed under the name Setaria italica (foxtail millet). RNAcentral describes it as "long non-coding RNA (SITA_LNC003710)". The record is from RNAcentral. Lineage: Eukaryota; Viridiplantae; Streptophyta; Magnoliopsida; Poales; Poaceae.